UUAGUGUUGAACAAUUGUUAUAAAUACCAAGAGGGCGCUUCAUGAAGACUUGCGCGCCUCAGGGUAUUCUCGAGAAGAUGCACACAAGGUGUGUGGCGUCGCCCCAUCAACAAGAUAGAGAGAUCUUUUGAUGGUUUUGUAGAAGAGCCACACUAGUCGGAAAAGACAAUUAGUGGUAGUCUUCUUUCAUUGUAAUUCUAGGAAAGAGUUGGUGGAUUCCAUAUAGCAAUUGUAGGUUGCGGACUUUUCUAGUUAAUGAAAUCUGGACUAGGUCCCGGGGAUGUAGGUUAUCCGAACCCCGUUAACAAAGCUUGUGCCUUAUUUACUUUAUGCUCAUACAUACUCGAAGUAGAUCAUACACAUAGUUGAAUUAGUCACACUCACACAUAUGCACUUUCAGAUUCCACUCAGCUUCUUCUGCGUUUGAUUCAUAUGGAAGAUACCGGAGGUUCUAAAACCUCUUCAUAACCACUGGCGUUUGCAUAUUAAUAUUAUCAUGAAUUUCCCAUAUUUUCUACGUAUUUUUCUUUAAAAAUAGUUGACCUUUUUUACUUUUAAAAAAAAAAUAUUAUUA
Molecule: long non-coding RNA, 574 nt
Filed under: Capsella rubella
Lineage: Eukaryota; Viridiplantae; Streptophyta; Magnoliopsida; Brassicales; Brassicaceae
Description: long non-coding RNA (CRUB_LNC001399)
Source: RNAcentral